RNAcentral lists this ribosomal RNA (483 nucleotides) under Triticum aestivum (bread wheat). RNAcentral's name for it is "partial small subunit ribosomal RNA". The record is from RNAcentral. Lineage: Eukaryota; Viridiplantae; Streptophyta; Magnoliopsida; Poales; Poaceae.
AUGGGAAGGGAGGAGGCCGUGGCCAAGGAGGAAGAGCAGCGGGGCGAUGGGGACCUGCAAUGUGGGAACGAAGGUGUGCACUGGUCGACACCCCAUCGUGGGGAAGACAAGAGGUUGAGACGUGGAGUGGCUGGUGCUGGGUGUAGGGACAAGAUGAUUGGGAACUUAGGAGAUAGGGAAAAUGAUAAGGACAAGUCACAACGCUCUAUUGCUUACCUGCUACUGUUUGUUGCUUGUGUCGAGUUCUUUGCCGCUACUGAUCUCUACAGGAAAAUUGGGGAUGCGAUUUUUUGUUUUUUAAUUUCACAUUACUUAGUAUAUAUCCUAAUCCUAAAUGGAAUAAAGCUUGUGAUGAUAAAUUUAGUUGAUAGCAAGUCUCCUUUUUGGCAUUCUGUCAGUUUGUUCGAAAAUAAAACUGGGCUUCCUUUAUUAGCACAUGAGUUCGUGAUUUUCAGAAAUUGUGCUGCAGAUUUAGGGGCGUAA